Molecule: ribosomal RNA, 316 nt
Filed under: uncultured Clostridia bacterium
Lineage: Bacteria; Bacillati; Bacillota; Clostridia
Description: partial 16S ribosomal RNA
Source: RNAcentral
GGAGUCUGGGCCGUGUCUCAGUCCCAAUGUGGCCGUUCACCCUCUCAGGCCGGCUAUGGAUCGUUGCUUUGGUGGGCCGUUACCCCGCCAACCGGCUAAUCCAACGCGGAGCCAUCCUGUACCACCGGAGUUUUUCACACUGCAUCAUGCGAUGCUGUGCGCUUAUGCGGUAUUAUCAACCGUUUCCAGUUGUUAUCCCCCUGUAUGAGGCAGGUUACCCACGCGUUACUCACCCGUCCGCCACUCGAUUGGAUGGUGCAAGCACCUUCCUCUCUCGUUCGACUUGCAUGUGUUAGGCACGCCGCCAGCGUUCAUC